GAACGGUUAGCUUAGUUGGUUAGAGCACUGGUACAAAACGCCAGAGACCGUGGGUUCGAGUCCCGUAUCGUUCA
This is a non-coding RNA of Leptidea sinapis, 74 nucleotides long. Lineage: Eukaryota; Metazoa; Arthropoda; Insecta; Lepidoptera; Pieridae. The record is from the annotation of a RefSeq genome assembly.